This is a long non-coding RNA of Cyprinus carpio carpio, 1174 nucleotides long. NCBI's taxonomy places the organism in Eukaryota, Metazoa, Chordata, Actinopteri, Cypriniformes, Cyprinidae. The record is from Ensembl.
GGCUUCAGAAGAUUUGGGUAUAGUGCACGAGUCAGAUGGAUCUCUUUUAUUAUGCUUUAUGUAAUUUUGGAGUUUGACCGCACCAGUCCUCAUUCACUUUCAUUUUAUUGAAAAAAUAACCACCAGAAUGUUCUUAACAGCAAACAGGUUUUGUUCAUUAAUUGGGAGAAAAGUCAAAAUAUUCAUUUUUGGGUUUUAAAAGAAGAUAGCAGAAAGGAAAAGGACGCAAAUAAACCACGCAAAAGAGAAGAAGCGUGGGCGCUGUAAACCGCUCAUAAAUGUUUCUACCUUUUCCUCGCUUCUCCACCAUUUCACAGCUGAGCAGGAUUGUGUCCCAGCUCGCCUUUCUGCAAGUCACCUGGCUAGUUCUGUUGUUUCCCUCCUUUUACUCGCAUCGACAAACCUUAACGACGCAUGGUAUCCCAUCCCCAACCCAUCGGUGCAGCAGCCACGCAUGGUACGGACCUGCUUUUUAUCAUAAAAUGUCUGUCUCACCCCCCGCGUUCAGUAUGUGCAAGGCGAGGUGGAGACAGAGAGGAGAGAGGGUGCGGCGGAGCACUGCAGUGCAGAUAAAUGAAUGCACCACUGGUGGCUGAGUCAGCAGCCCACUCCCAGUUUGGCCCACCGCCUGCACCAACUGUGUCUGAGGAGGAACAACAUGCAUGCAGUCAACACACACAGUCAAUAUGUCUCCUGCCUGAUCGAAGACGCACCGAACGAUUUGCUUUCGGUGUUUUGCUGGCCAAAUUACAAAUGUGCAUUUUAGUUCGCAGUCGAUCUGUUAUUCCGUCAGGAGCAGUCUGGAUAACUACAAACCAACUGCUGUGAUUUAUGCUCUGGCGCCUUCAGACUCUACCUAUAAAGAGAGUCCAGUGAAGCAAUGAAGGGUGUUAUAUCACUCUCAAGUCAUCCACCAAUCGCAGAAGCCACGGCGGUUCUCAACUCCACCACCUGAGCAGCAUCAAAACGGCGCUGGAACUACAAACAUCAUGGAGAAACAACGCAAAGGUGCUGCUGGAUGUUGUGGGUAUUGUAGGCAUUUUGAAUGGCUAUAGUGCUUAAUUUACGUCACACUCAGUGUGUUCUUGAAAUUUCCAAAUAAUUACAUAAAUUAAUGAAUGACAUGCUACAGGCUGCAAGAUUGAAUCAUUUAUUCCUCUUAAGUCGUAUUUAG